RNAcentral lists this unclassified non-coding RNA (400 nucleotides) under soil metagenome. RNAcentral's name for it is "partial contains 5.8S ribosomal RNA, internal transcribed spacer 2, and large subunit ribosomal RNA". The stretch from base 1 to 122 matches the Rfam family "5.8S ribosomal RNA", at positions 35 to 154 of the family's 154-position model. The record is from RNAcentral.
GAUGAAGAACGCAGCGAAAUGCGAUACUUGGUGUGAAUUGCAGAAUCCCGUGAACCAUCGAGUCUUUGAACGCAAGUUGCGCCUCAAGCCAUUAGGUUGAGGGCACGUCUGCCUGGGCGUCACAUAUCGUUGCCUGAUGCCAGUUUCCUCGUGAUGGGUGACUGUGCAGGGCGAAUGAUGGCUUCCCGUGAGCAUUGUUGCCUCAUGGUUGGUUGAAAAUUGAGUCCUUGGUAGGGAGCGCCGUGAUAGAUGGUGGUUGAGUGACGAACGAGACCCAAUCAUGUGAGACCCCUACCGAAUUUGGCCUUCAUGACCCACAUGCGUCUUUGGAACGCUCAUGACGAGACCUCAGGUCAGGCGGGGCUACCCGCUGAGUUUAAGCAUAUCAAUAAGCGGAUGA